GUUGGGAAGUCUGCUCUUGGAGUGGUGGGAAAUGGCAGAAGGCAGGGUGAGGGCAGCUGGAGGACACCUGGGACCUUAGGGUGACUGGGCUCAGAAUGUAACAAAAUGUCUAGGCCUGGCAGUCAAGUUUGGUGACCAUGGCCAUUGCUGCUAUAAACAUUGGGGUACAGAUGGCCCUUCUUUUCACAACAUCUGUAUCUUUGGGGUAAAUACCCAGGAGUGCAACAGCAGUCAGACAACAAAGAGAAAUAAAAGGAAAGAAACACAACCUAGAGAACAAGAAUAAAGCUUCCAUGGAAAGCCCCAGAAGGAAUUCAAGUGGAAAUACCCUGAGAUCCCUACUCACAAGACCUGGCCUAGAAAAUAAUCACUAAAGGUGAUUGCCCUCAACUCUACUACCCACUGACUCAACCUUUCUUCUAACUGUGUGCUCCACAGAACUCAAAGGUGGCUACAGCCCCAUCCUGUAGAGGACCAUGAUGGAUCCCAGAGACAGGCUGAGAACCAACUAGCAAAUCCAAAGCAGCGGGAGCCUACAAUUCUACCACCAUCACAAGGUUAAACCUUUCCAAGUGCAACCUAUCUGUCUUUCCCAUUGUUCAGACUGAUUCCACGUGGACUUUGAGAAGACCAUGUUCAGUGUAAAUGUGAUUUAAACUUCCAUCUGUGAAAGCAAUUCAACAACGCAUUCUGGUUUUAAAUUCUUGUGUUGAAACAAAAGCAAGUCCCCAUCCCAUCGGUGAGUUAUCCGUUCUUUUUCUCUUCGCUAAAAUGCGGGAAGAGGACCGCUGAAGAAGGGAAAGGGAGCGAAUAGUGCU
This is a long non-coding RNA of Mustela lutreola (European mink), 818 nucleotides long. RefSeq lists it as uncharacterized. The transcript is spliced from 4 exons. NCBI's taxonomy places the organism in Eukaryota, Metazoa, Chordata, Mammalia, Carnivora, Mustelidae. The record is from RefSeq and is a predicted model, not a curated record.